AUCUUCCACUUUUCACUUUCCUCUUUUGUCCUUCUCUUUUCGUUUCUCUCAUCCUAGAACGGAAGAACGAUGGAAAAUCAGGGUUCUUCCAUUUGCUUCCACAUAUUUCUCGAUCUCUCUCGAGCUUCGGAUCCCUAGCCUCCGUAUGAAGGAAAUCGUGAAUCCUGCAGAAUCCUUGGGUUUCCUGAUUUCAUCGGCUAUUUCAUCAGUUUUUGGAUUCGAUCAGGAUCGGUUUUUUACCCACGAAAUCUAGAGUCUUCUGACCUGGACUGUCGAAUGGAGAGGAUGAAAAGCAACUGCAGGAAAGCGGCAAUGGAGACCCGGCAUCAGCAUUUUCAAGUCGAUCUGGGGAGGAAUUAGUGAAGGAAUGUAUAAAGAGAGGGACCGAGUUGGUUUAAGCUAUUGCGAAUAGUCUUUUCAACUCACAUUCAACUGAAGGCAUAGACGGUCCCAUUGUGCACAUGUUCGCUUCCUGAAACUAAGCUGCCAAGAUAGAAAGCAUGUUUCAUCAUGUAUAUGAGCAUUUGGUAGUGAAACAUGUAUAGUGCUUCACAAUUGAAAAGAAGUGGAAUGGUAGUUUCAAGUGGACCGUAUUUGAUUGAGAAUAAGAUACCGUGCAAUAUCGAUUUUGGCAUGAAUGUUGGGGAUGAGCUGAAGCAGCUAAAGUUGAGUGUUUUAAUCGGUUGUAUAUAUCACCCAGUUUACCUGUUCCUACUGCUGCUCAACAGGGACGAGUUUCACAGCAGGUGAGUGAAAAUUCUGGGUUCUU
Pyrus x bretschneideri (Chinese white pear) is the source of this 769-nucleotide long non-coding RNA. RefSeq lists it as uncharacterized. The transcript has 8 exons. The record is from RefSeq and is a predicted model, not a curated record. Lineage: Eukaryota; Viridiplantae; Streptophyta; Magnoliopsida; Rosales; Rosaceae.